RNAcentral lists this ribosomal RNA (520 nucleotides) under uncultured bacterium. RNAcentral's name for it is "bacterial SSU rRNA". It matches the Rfam family "Bacterial small subunit ribosomal RNA", at positions 258 to 769 of the family's 1533-position model. The record is from RNAcentral.
AAAAGGCUCACCUAGGCGACGAUCCGUAGCGGGCUGAGAGGAUGAUCCGCCACACUGGGACUGAGACACGGCCCAGACCUCCUACGGGAGGCAGCAGUGGGAAUUUUGGACAAUGGGCGCAAGCCUGAUCCAGCCAUGCCGCGUGAGUGAAGAAGGCCUUCGGGUUGUAAAGCUCUUUUCGGCCGGGAAGAAAUCGUGGUCUCUAACCAUAGGCCAUGGAUGACGGUACCGGACUAAGAAGCACCGGCUAACUACGUGCCAGCAGCCGCGGUAAUACGUAGGGUGCGAGCGUUAAUCGGAAUUACUGGGCGUAAAGCGUGCGCAGGCGGUUUUGUAAGACAGAUGUGAAAUCCCCGGGCUUAACCUGGGAACUGCGUUUGUGACUGCAAGGCUAGAGUACGGCAGAGGGGGGUGGAAUUCCUGGUGUAGCAGUGAAAUGCGUAGAGAUCAGGAGGAACACCGAUGGCGAAGGCAGCCCCCUGGGCCUGUACUGACGCUCAUGCACGAAAGCGUGGGGAGC